RNAcentral lists this ribosomal RNA (506 nucleotides) under uncultured bacterium. RNAcentral's name for it is "partial 16S ribosomal RNA". It matches the Rfam family "Bacterial small subunit ribosomal RNA", at positions 29 to 523 of the family's 1533-position model. The record is from RNAcentral.
AGUGAACGCUGGCGGUAGGCCUAACACAUGCAAGUCGAACGGCAGCACAGGAGAGCUUGCUCUCUGGGUGGCGAGUGGCGGACGGGUGAGGAAUACAUCGGAAUCUACUCUGUCGUGGGGGAUAACGUAGGGAAACUUACGCUAAUACCGCAUACGACCUACGGGUGAAAGCAGGGGACCUUCGGGCCUUGCGCGAUUGAAUGAGCCGAGGUCGGAUUAGCUAGUUGGCAGGGUAAAGGCCCACCAAGGCGACGAUCCGUAGCUGGUCUGAGAGGAUGAUCAGCCACACUGGAACUGAGACACGGUCCAGACUCCUACGGGAGGCAGCAGUGGGGAAUAUUGGACAAUGGGCGCAAGCCUGAUCCAGCCAUACCGCGUGGGUGAAGAAGGCCUUCGGGUUGUAAAGCCCUUUUGUUGGGAAAGAAAUCCAGCUGGCUAAUACCCGGUUGGGAUGACGGUACCCAAAGAAUAAGCACCGGCUAACUUCGUGCCAGCAGCCGCCGCCG